Aedes albopictus (Asian tiger mosquito) is the source of this 1007-nucleotide long non-coding RNA. RefSeq lists it as uncharacterized. The transcript is spliced from 3 exons. The record is from RefSeq and is a predicted model, not a curated record. NCBI's taxonomy places the organism in Eukaryota, Metazoa, Arthropoda, Insecta, Diptera, Culicidae.
AUUUGGGUUUCGUAUCCAUUACCAAUAAUAUGGGUAAAGUUUACCAAUAAAUAUUGGUAAAAUUCACCCAUAUUCUUGAUGAAGUGACUUUACUCAUAUAUGGGUAAAGACUGUUUACCCAUAUUUGGAUGAAAAAAAUAAUAUUUUCUAGAGGCAGCACCGAAAUCGGCCAUUCGCUCGGUUCAUCAAAAAUAAAACAAUUGUUUUAGUUAACUAUUCUCGGAAUUAUUGGAGAACGUUGAGGCAAAUUUGAAAAUUACACAACGCCUAGGUGAAGAGGAAGCAGGUGACCUCUGAACAGAAAAAAAAAAUCCUUCGAGGUGGAUUACGGUUGGAACCAGUUGAAUCAGCAGGAUUCUCUGCAAGUGCUCUCGUGUUGGAUUUAGCACCGCUCGAUGAGCUGAAUUUGAGCGUCUCAGUGGAACACGCCCAGCAAUCCACCGGAGUGCAAAUAAACCGGAGACGCACGUUGACCGUGAACGAAUCGUCUAGGACUCCGCUCCCCCUGAUGCCAAAUUUCAAUAGGCCGGCCGGAUGAUGCAAACCGCCCGUAGAAGAAGGAAGUGGCAUUCUCGUUGUAGAAGUGUUCUGUCUAUGCCUCGGCUCCCCCGAGAGCAGUUGAAACCCACCCGAACCAGAGUGGGAGCGGGAAGUAAACCGACACAAGUGGCUCAAGUCCGGACAUUAUUAGAACCAGGGAGGAGUUUGCAUCAAUAUCUGAUUUGUGCAUUUCACUCCCGGUCCUACCCAUCCUGGUCGAGAUACUGGCCUCAAACGCCCAUACGAGCAAGCGCAAGAGUCGACAAACUGCAUCAGCUGGCGGACCCUCCGGAGCGCAUUGUCCGGAAGAAAGCAGCUCCACCAUCAGGAAGCUAUUCGCGAUCCUUUCACCAUUGAUGUUGCUGCACGAUCCAGUCUUUUCCUAUGUAAAACGAAACGCCGACCCAAUCGUUAAAAUCAAUCACCAAAACCCUGCAUGUAUUUUUUUAUUAAUAUUUUUCUGUUUU